CUCGAGACCCAGAUACUGAUAGAUCAGAAUGUGCUUCGGCACCGAGGCGAGCCACUCCUCGCCGCGUGCGACAUGGGUGAUCUUCAUCAGAUGGUCGUCGACGACGUUCGCCAUGU
RNAcentral lists this small RNA (116 nucleotides) under Sinorhizobium meliloti 2011. RNAcentral describes it as "putative ncRNA". The record is from RNAcentral. Lineage: Bacteria; Pseudomonadati; Pseudomonadota; Alphaproteobacteria; Hyphomicrobiales; Rhizobiaceae.